RNAcentral lists this long non-coding RNA (794 nucleotides) under Pan troglodytes (chimpanzee). RNAcentral describes it as "lincRNA". The record is from RNAcentral. Lineage: Eukaryota; Metazoa; Chordata; Mammalia; Primates; Hominidae.
GGGAUGAGGAGAGGCAAUGUGGCAUGGUGGUUAAGCACGUGGACUUGGAGCCAGACGGCCUGGGGCUGAAUCCUGGCUCUGCCUCUCACCAACUGUGACCUUGGGCAAGGAAGCUGGUUCAGUGGGGCUGUCGACCACAGGUACCAACCCUGCCCUCCCCUACAGAGUAUGUGACACAGGCACAGCCAAUCACUGCAUCCCAGUGCUUGGACCAGUCACAGUGUCAAGGAAGUUCUGAGGGUACCCCUCACUCAAGCUCCAGGCGUCAGGAAAAGAACAUUCCACGAAGUCCAUCUGGAAGACGGUCCUUUCCCUGCUGCCCCCAGCUUCUAGAACAUUCCCUGGAACACAGCAAGUGUUCAGUUAUUGUUCAUGGAGUGACAGAUGUCUCAGCCAAGAAGGCUCAGCUUAGGGACCGUCACCUCCAGGAAGCCUUCCCAACCUGCACUGAUCAUUUCUUCUUCUUCUCUUUGGGAUUAUCACUUGUAUUGUAAUCAAACCUUGUUUUUUUCUUUAAAAAAUAUUAUUUGCAUUCAGUAAAAUUCACCCUUUUUGACAUACAGUUCUGAGGUUUUUUUUAGUUCUAUAAGUUUUGUCAAAUGUGUAAAGUUGUAGUCUCCAACACAAUCAAAAUAUAAAACAAUUUCCUCGCCCCUCCCCAGUUCCCUUAUGCUCUUUCGUAUCCAACACUUCUUCCCACUCUAGCCCCUGGCAACCACGGAUUUGCUUUCUGUCUGUACAACACUGCCUCUUCCAGAAUGUCAUAUAUAAAAUCACGCUGUUUAUAACCUUUA